This 253-nucleotide ribosomal RNA is filed under the name uncultured bacterium. Its description in RNAcentral is "partial 16S ribosomal RNA". It matches the Rfam family "Bacterial small subunit ribosomal RNA", at positions 524 to 776 of the family's 1533-position model. The record is from RNAcentral.
UACGUAGGGGGCAAGCGUUGUCCGGAUUUAUUGGGCGUAAAGAGCGUGUAGGCGGCCAUACAGGUCCGUUGUGAAAACUGGAGGCUUAACCUCCAGACGUCGAUGGAAACCGUAUGGCUAGAGUCCGGAAGAGGAGUGUGGAAUUCCUGGUGUAGCGGUGAAAUGCGCAGAUAUCAGGAAGAACACCUAUGGCGAAGGCAGCACUCUGGGACGGUACUGACGCUGAGACGCGAAAGCGUGGGGAGCGAACAGG